GACUAACUGCCCUGUUGUGAGGCUGGGAGUGCAAGACACUGUGACGGGGACAGGGGUAGAGCUGCACACUGAGUCCCUGAGUGCUGCUUUGCUGGCGAAUGAGGGUUUCAGAGCUGACCACUGAAGGAAAGUUCUGUGAAGGACUACCAGGUCAUGCAGGUGACAGGAGCUCCAUGCGAUUUGAUUUCCCGUGUGACUGCAGGGUGCUCCUACCAUAUAGGAGUCGGUCAAGCCCUGUGUCUCUCCACUGUCACCUGUGCUGCCACCAUGCUCUCCCAGGGCUCAGAAUGGGUGCAGGAAGGCCACCAGGGCUGGGGUAGGUGGAGAGGUGAUCUUGGACUUGCCAGGUGGGCCUAAAUGGAAUCACAAAGGCCCUUCCUUGCAAGAGGCAGGUGGGCAGUCAAAGAGAAGUUGCUCUGAAGAUAGAGGAAGGGGCUAGGAGUCAAGGAAUGUAGGUGAUCUCUACAGGCUGGAAAGGGCAAGAAACAGAUGCUCCAGAGGGAACCAGUCCUGCUGACAGCUUGGAUUUAGCCCUAUCAGACUCAUUUCAGAUUUCUGGCAUCCAGAGCUAUUGAAGAAUAAAUAUGUCCUGCCUUAAGCUGCUCUGUUGGCAGUGGUUUGGUACAGCAGGAAUCAGAAACUACUAUGGGCCCUAGGCUCCCAACAUCAGCUCCAUCCAAACCAGCCUCUCCUGUGGACACUGCUGUGGCAUCUCUGAUCCAUGAUGGUGGAAAGUCAGCAUGGAGGUGGCAGUGCUGCCAGUAGAAGCCAGGAAAACCUACUGCUUGACCAUUUUCUUCUUUCUACACUACUGAGGGCCUCUCAAGGUUUCAGGAGGCUCCUGGGCCCUGAGAUGGAGGCUCCUUGAAUACCAGGCCCCCAUCUUCUGGAAAGGAACCCCAGCAGGAAACCAAAACUUCUUGCAAACUUCAGUAGCGAUGUCACAAGUGAUGGCUGCAUUUCCCCCGUCCCAUCAGGAUUUCUAAAGCAUUUGGGUUCCUCUCAACACACAACUAUUUAUGGAAGUGGAUCCAUCCGGCUUGCUGCGUGCGAUCAGGGAGGUCCUGAGCAGAAAGAAAUGGCCUCUGAGAAGGCGGAAUGACGGCUUUCCUGGGAAAAUUGCUCCAACCGAGACUGGGCUCUGAAUGUGUAAGCACCAAAAGACUCUUGUUUGAAAACGUGUUCUUGUUUUCCUGACAGUUUCCUGACAGUUCCACUGUGCUUCAGUGCAUUCACUUUGCAUCCCCUCCUCCUAGUCUAUGAUACAGAAGAGAUUUUAUCAGGAAAUGCCUGCCAGGGUAGAUGUAGCUCUAGGAAAAAUCACCUUUGAUAAACUCCAAUGCCAGUCUCUUACUACUAUUUUACAUUUCUCCGUGUUUUCACGUGCUCUCUAAACGACAGGUGACAAUGUAAGAAUCUGCAUCCAUCCCCGGAUGGAGCCCUCAUCUGCACCUGGCUGGGGCUGCGAGGGUCAGGCAGCACCUGUACCUUCUCUCCAUACUCGGACCCCAUCUCCCAUCUCUUCCCACUAGCUGCAGGCUUUACACUGCCUGCUGCAGAAAUGCCCUUUGAGGGGAGCAGCCAGAGAUGGUUAAUGAUCACAGGAGAUGUAAACAAGCUCUGGCACCAACACACACCAUGCCAGUCCCCGGGGCCCCCAGACCUGUCCCCACAGCUCUGGGCUGGCACUUUGUGGCAGCGUGCUUUGGGAUCAGUUCCCAGAGCCACCCUCAGGGACUGCAAUGGCUGCAUACAGGCCAUUCUUUGGACUUUGUGCAGAGGGGUAAGGGGAGCAGGCCAACCUCUGGUAGGCACCUGACAGACUUUCAGAACUUCCUAGGGUGACUGGGGCUGACAAAUGGGGCUACUGCCCAGGGAGAGAAGCUCAGGUGUUUAUUGGGACUUCCAAGGACAGUCACUAUGUCCUGCUCAGAAACUCACCAUCACUGCCUCUCUGAGGGUCUACCUUUCUCCUUGAUGCUCUUGGGGAUGCAACUGUCAGGUUGAGCUUUCUUAGGGUGGGGGGAGGGAGUAGAGUUGAGGAAUGGGACUGUGACAAGCCGAAAUAGGCCGAGUAGGUGGGCGGGGAUAGCCACUCUCUGCAAAGUCUCUUCUGUAGAAGACCUGCAGAGUUCCAGGCUGGUUUCUGCCCCCUCAGCCAAAUACAUAUACAGAUGCUUGAUGUGGUCCAUUUUGGUCACUCCCCUCCCCCACCCUGGGCCUCUCUAAGGAACCAACUCUGGCAAAUAAAAUAAUGAAUCAUAAAUUUUAUUUCAAAAUGUAAACGUCACUAAACAUGCAUACACGUUAAAACAAUAAAAUUUACAAUUUAGUUAUUAUUUUUUUUUUUUGCAUAGGACAUCAUUACAAUAUAGAAUCUAUGCCAUACAAAAUACAUACAAAGUUUUAUCCGAGCAAGCCAAGGCCAGAUUGGGAACUGUACAACUGUAAUACUUCACUGUAGUGAUCCAGGAAAGAUGAAACAUGGCCUUUGGAAGCAUGGUGUGGUGCUGGUUAAAAAGAAAAAAAAAAGUUCCUACAGAAAAGGAAAACGUAUGCUCCAUGGAAAUGGUCUUGGACCCUUGGAGUCUGCCUUGCGAUUUUGGCAAACGAUUCCAGAGAAGCUCCGUCAGUGGCUUUGGAUGAGGAAGGGGUCAUUUGUGUGGGUUUGAGAGUAUCUGACUCAUGCACCUGGCACACCCCCACAAGCUAUUCCCCAUCAUGUGGAAACACAGCAAGCCCCAUACCCCACAAUGCAUAGCUCACACUGAUACCAUUGAGCCCUUGAGAUCCUCAGCACUAGGCACAAGGACUCUCCACGGUGAGGCUAGGGAGCGAAGCCGCCUGCCUGCACACCAGCACCCUGAGUGGGUACAGCUGCCACACCGCUCCCCACACUGGGAAGUGGCCCCAUCACCUCCCACACAGGGCGGGCUGGGGACAGAUCCAGCUAGUACACCCAGGCCUUGUGCUCUGAGUGGGAGGGAUGAUCUCCUGCCAGACCUGUGGUUGUCCUGCAGGCAUUCAGCUCACAUCCUUGGGUUUCUAAAUGAGCAUGUACAGCAUCCUGUCAACGUCACUAGGAAAAGGCCCCCACAUCCCUGGAGCAAGCUGUACAUGUGGUCCACUCUCCUCUUGUUCAUCUUUAAAUAAAAGGAGUAAGGUUUUAAAGCUGCAUAAGAAGUGGAGAGGUUGGCAGGGCCAGCUGGCCACACCACAAGGCCAACAUUGCUCCAGGGGGUCAGUGCAGGCCAUACAGGUACACUCCUCUGCCCUCACGGAUCCGGAGCUCACAGUUCCCACCAAAUCCAAUCUUCAAACCAACAAGGGACAUGACAGUGUGUGGGGAAAGGGCAUUGCCCUAAAUGACGUUCAGGCAUUUAUCAGUAGUAGUAAGCUGGAUUGUGCAUCCAAAUUCUGGUACAAAAUUCUCUGGAAUGUGUCUUGGACAAACCUUUGAAACCGAGCCUCAGAACUGGGAAUGUCAGCUGGAGGAGCUGGCUCCUCCCAGAGCAAUCCUGCUUUCAGAAAGCAUCAACCCACAUCCUUGAUUUUAGGUUUGGAAAAUAUGGUCACUAGACUCACAUAUGGAAUCUUUGGGUAGCGGAAGAUGUGGGUGACCAACGAAGCAUCUCUGUCUUCGAUGUGACCGCUACAUCAGACCCUUUAUAUCGUCCAGCACUGUUUUUGACUGAGUUUUUGCAAAAGGGUUUAAAAACAACAAAAAAUCAGUGAUACCUGCCAGAAGCCAAAAUAAUCAAGGAUCCUUGUAAACAGCCCAAACCAGGAGUCAAAAUAACAAGGGGAGGCUAUUGCUCAGAUCACACUUUCUUGUUAGGUGGCACUCCUGCUGAGACUACGGAUGAAGUCCCUAGGGAGUGUGCUAGGACCCCGUGCAGUCCAUCUUAGCACCUGCUUCUGGCAAGAAAGGAGGCUGGGUCUUCUGUAGACUCUGGGCUGGAUGGCAGAAAGUUGACUGGAGACCCCAGUUCUGCCACACUUCACUUGGGACCACAGAAAGCCACCAACCCUCUCUUCAUGUCCCAACAAGUGGGCUGGGGGCCACCUGUGGCCUGCCUGUCCCUACCUCCAAGUCACUCUCCACUGGUCUAAGAUGUGACCCAGGGCAUAGGUGAGAUCUGGGGACCCAGUCCCACUGACGUUUGCACCUGGUGGCUGCACCUACCAGGUUGCAUGCCCUCAGAAUAAAGGGUGGGUGGUGUCCUGCACCUCCAGUGCCAUUUGUGGGGGUGUGGUGGGAUGCAGGUAGGGUACCUCCAGGACUACAUUCCCAUCAAGGGCAUCACUGCCUGGUCCUACAUAGCACCCUACAGAAGAGGACCCCGGGGUCCUUCGUGGAAACAUCUGUGUUCAUGUUUCUUUCUGGAUGGCUGUAGGAUUCAGUGGGCCUAUGGGGGAGCCGACAACUGGUCCACAAAUGUGGCUGAUGCAAAAAGGGGCUUUCUUUUUUGGGAUGUGAGUUAAACAGCAGCCCCUGAUGCUUGAGUCCAGGGAUGGUUUUAGGACUUUUUGGAGGAAACUCUCCCUUUGUUCAGGAAACCUUCAUUUUGAGAUUUCUGCCCCCUUGGCCUGUGAGAACAAGUCUGCUACAAAAUAAAGGUUUGAGUUUUCUCUAUUAUGUCUAGGAGUCCUAUGGGUUCUUCAAUCACAUUGAAGCCAGCAAGGAUGGCCAUUAACCAGAAAAAUGAAAGACCCUGAAAUAGACCCAGGCUGGGAAAACAUUCUACAUCUUAGAAGAAAAUGCAGGCUGUUUCAGGAAGGUCUGCCCCACAUAACUGCUUUCAGUGAGGGCCCAAGGGAGGUGGCUUUCCGCGGCCCACCGCCCCCCUCCACGAGCACUCAUUUCAUGAUGAUCAGAUGCCAGUGAGAGCCCAUGUAAACUUCGCCGGAGGCUCAUGGAUUUUUCCCACCCUUCAAGUGAGAUGAAUAUCAGCCCCAGAUGAGUCAGGAUGGUCUGAUGGAAGCUCCAGGCCAAGUGCCCAGGGAUGCCAGAAGGGAAUUCCCUCCAGGUGCCCCACCUCCCAAGCCAGGCCCAGAGCGGAAGGACUGCACCCUGCUAUUAGAUCAGAACCACUUUGGGAAUGAAGACACACUCAUUUGCCAAAAAUAGCCAAUGCCUGCAUAUUUCUGUUUUAAGGCAAUGUUACCUUUCCAUCUAUCAGACGGAACAGCCCUGGGUCAUUCAGAGGAAAAAUUAAAUUAAGUGCUCUCUUUGGAAACAGCAAACACCCGUGUUCCCUCUCCCACCCCCCACCCCGCCGCUAAAACAAACCAGCUCUUCUUUUAUUCCAAGAUGACUGGGUUUAUAGAGUCCUUACUCCCCUUCCUAUGUGCAGACAGAUGUGGGGUUAGAAACCCUCCUUCUGAGAUGCCAGUGGGCAGAUCACAAGGAGAAACCUGGCUUCUCCAGGGGAUAGCACUGUGUGGCCUCCCAGAGACACACAGCUCCCUCUCCCUGCCUUCGGGGACCCAUGGACGGCGAGCACACCAAAGGACUUUGGAAUAAAAUUCCUGAACCUGGAAUGUGAGUUCCUGAGACGUGAAAUGUAUUCAGUGUGGCUUUCUAUGCCUCACACAGAAACAACUUUGGGAGGGGCCUCCGAGGGCCUUCCAGGCCUCACUUUGGAACUGGGCAUAAAGAUCUUUCACCCCAAGCACUCAGGGUGCUCUUCUGUCCAGGUCUCUAUAGGAUAUUCUACUCUCUCUCCCAGACCAAACGCAAGCAGGGCUGUCAUGCAGCCCAAAUGGGGCACAGCAGCCAGGGCAGUCAGCCCUGCAUCUGACCCCCAUCUCUGUGGGCUUCCAUCCACAGCAAUAACAAUGCUACUGCAUUGUUAUUGGUACCUAACAUGCUACUCAGAAGCCACCACCAUGCCACUGGCUAAUCCUAGGUGACACACAGUAGAGUUAGAAAGGGGCAUCCAAGUGUUACAGACAGCAGAUUGCCAUCCUUGUGGUCACUAUGGACAGAGGGUGCUGGCCUAAAGCUGCAGCCAAGGGCGAUUAGCACCAGCCAGGCCGGGGUCCCUUGGGCUUCUCUGUGCUGCACCCCAUGCCCUGUAGGUCAGGGUGCAAGCAGGAUGGCCACAACCAAGGCACUCUGGGCCCAGGAAGCCCAUCUACAGCCCUCUGAGAUCCCAAGGGUCAUUCCUCCUCACCAAAAAGAACAGAGGUCUCUGCAAAAUACC
Long non-coding RNA from Nyctereutes procyonoides (raccoon dog), 6209 nucleotides. RefSeq lists it as uncharacterized. NCBI's taxonomy places the organism in Eukaryota, Metazoa, Chordata, Mammalia, Carnivora, Canidae. The record is from RefSeq and is a predicted model, not a curated record. The transcript is spliced from 3 exons.